UAAAUCAGUUAUCGUUUAUUUGAUAGUACCUUACUACUUGGAUAACCGUGGUAAUUCUAGAGCUAAUACAUGCUGAAAACCUCGACUUCGGAAGGGGUGUAUUUAUUAGAUAAAAAACCAAUGCCCUUCGGGGCUCUUUGGUGAUUCAUGAUAACUUCUCAGAUCGCAUGGCCUUGCGCCGGCGACGGUUCAUUCAAAUUUCUGCCCUAUCAACUUUCGAUGGUAAGGUAUUGGCUUACCAUGGUUUCAACGGGUAACGGGGAAUUAGGGUUCGAUUCCGGAGAAGGAGCCUGCGAGACGGCUCCUACAUCCAAGGAAGGCAGCAGGCGCGCAAAUUACCCAAUCCCGACACGGGGAGGUAGUGACAAUAAAUACUGAUACAGGGCUCUUUUGGGUCUUGUAAUUGGAAUGAGUACAAUUUAAACCUCUUAACGAGGAACAAUUGGAGGGCAAGUCUGGUGCCAGCAGCCGCGGUAAUUCCAGCUCCAAUAGCGUAUAUUAAAGUUGUUGCAGUUAAAAAGCUCGUAGUUGAACCUUGGGCCUGGCUGGCGGGUCCGCCUCACCGCGUGUACUUGACCGGCCGGGCCUUCUCUUCUGGAGAACCUCAUGCCCUUUACUGGGCGUGUUGGGGACCAGGACUUUUACUUUGAAAAAAUUAGAGUGUUCAAAGCAGGCCUUUGCUCGAAUAUGUUAGCAUGGAAUAAUAGAAUAGGACGUGCGGUCCUAUUUUGUUGGUUUCUAGGACCGCCGUAAUGAUUAAUAGGGACAGUCGGGGGCAUCAGUAUUCAAUUGUCAGAGGUGAAAUUCUUGGAUUUAUUGAAGACUAACUACUGCGAAAGCAUUUGCCAAGGAUGUUUUCAUUAAUCAGUGAACGAAAGUUAGGGGAUCGAAGACGAUCAGAUACCGUCGUAGUCUUAACCAUAAACUAUGCCGACUAGGGAUCGGGCGAUGUUUCAAUAUUGAC
Molecule: ribosomal RNA, 964 nt
Filed under: Helicascus mangrovei
Lineage: Eukaryota; Fungi; Ascomycota; Dothideomycetes; Pleosporales; Morosphaeriaceae
Description: SSU rRNA
Rfam family: Eukaryotic small subunit ribosomal RNA
Source: RNAcentral